Molecule: ribosomal RNA, 160 nt
Filed under: uncultured bacterium
Lineage: Bacteria
Description: partial 16S ribosomal RNA
Rfam family: Bacterial small subunit ribosomal RNA
Source: RNAcentral
UCGGGAAUUUUGGACAAUGGGGGCAACCCUGAUCCAGCAAUGCCGCGUGUGUGAAGAAGGCCUUCGGGUUGUAAAGCACUUUUGUCCGGAAAGAAAUAGCGCUGGUUAAUACCCGGCGUUGAUGACGGUACCGGAAGAAUAAGCACCGGCUAACUACGUG